UGCUCCCAUUCAGUGGUAGGGUCUACGUCCCUCUCCUUGGACCUGCAGGCUUUCGUGACUGCCCUGAGCAGCAGAGUGUGGCAGCAGUAAGGCUGCGUGACUUCUGAGGCUGGCUCAUAAGGGCUCUGUGAUGCAGGUUCUACCCUGCUCUCCUUAGCCAUUUGCUCUGGGUGAAAGCCAGCUGCCCUGCAGGAGGCUGCAAUACUGAGGCUGCCAUGCUGUCAGGAGGCCCAGGCCACAGUGGGGGGCCACAGGUUCUGGGGUGGCUCGUGAGUGACAGCAGUACUGGUAUGCUGGUGAGUGCCUCAGCAGGAGCUCCCUCUGUCCCCCUACCAACUCCCCGAUGUCUGGACGGCACCAGAGCCCGCCUGGGAGGCCACGAGCUAACACUCUCAAGAGGAAAACAGGGGGAUCAAACCAAUGACCCAAGGGCCUACAGCUAAGAACUGCUGGAGCCAGGCUCUGAACUGAGCUCUGCCUGACUCCAGAGGUGGUUUCUACCACCAGGCAAUACAACAGGGAGACACGCAGGUGUGUCAGAGAGCAGUCCUCACAGUGCGAGCACAGAAACCAGAGGCCAAGGCUGAAGAUUUUCCUGGACUCGCGGUGCUGCCCAGGAAUCUUCUGAGAAAACCUGUCAGUUGGUAAAGCCACGUGGAGGCGGGGCUAACAAAAUCUGGAAAUGUCUUCACCAGUUCCAAAGUACACACAAACAUUACUUGCCCUCUCUGGGGGUCAACGUUCUUUAUGCUGAGAAGGUUUCUCCAUUUCCUUUCUCACAGCCUAUUUGUUGGUGUGGAACUGCCUGUGAAGUCAUUCUGCAGGGGUGGAAAGUGGGGGCCAGCUCUCUGUGGGCAACAGGGACCAUCCCAGAGACAAAGGGCAGCCUCAGCCCACAGACCACUUCGGACUUGAAUCAAGGCCUCAAAGGGCGAGACCUGGGCCACUGUCAAUGUGAGGGCAGGGCUGAAGCCAGGGAUUUGGAAAAUUGGUGGAAAACACUCCUAUGAGCUGGGGCUUGCUCUGCUGUGGAAAACUGCCAGCAUCAGCACUUCUCCCAAGGCUGUGCCGAGUCAGCAGUCAGCCCACUCUGGAGCUGCCUCUGAGGACCAGGUGCCUACAGGACCCUGUAAGGAGCUUGAAGAGUUGUGGCUGACGGAGGGAUUUCUGUCCUGGGCUCUAGGAAUUCUAGACUGGGCCCUUCCUCAAGGAGCUUUCAGUCUGGCGGAGCAGACAGACAUGGGCAAAUAAGCCCACAACUAACUGUGCCAUCACUGCAGAAGGAAGUGCCACGGAGGAGCAUGAGGGCCAGUUGCAGGAAGGAGCCAGGGCCAGCAUGUGCCUGUAAAAGCCAGAUAGUAAAUAGUUCACGCUCUGCAGGCCACAGGGUCUUUGUCCCAAGCACUCAACUCUGCCACUGCUGCAUGAAAACAGCCACAGGCGAUAUGUCAACCAAAGAGGGGUGGUUGUGCCCAUAUGAAAACAGAGGGUGGAUCUGUCCCACAGUUUGCCACAGCCUGGCUGUUAGACGGCCUGACCUGAUUGGGGGUGGGGGUGAUAGUGGGGAGAAGGCUUCCCCGAGGCAGUGAUAUUUAGCUAAAAGCUGCAGGCUGAGGCAAUGAUGGAGGCAGAAUCACAAUAUGACAAUUAUGAUAAUCACAUCACCAUGAUCAAGUUCCACCUAACACGUGUGUUCUAUGUUGCGCACUGUGCUAAUAACAACACUACCCUGUGAAGGAGGAAGAUUUUAUGCCCACUUUACAGAUAGAGACACUGAGGCUUGGCAGUAUGCUGAGUAGUCUGUUCACACAAUUCAGCUGCAUUUUUUGC
This 1830-nucleotide long non-coding RNA is filed under the name Homo sapiens (human). RNAcentral's name for it is "HSALNT0155484". The record is from RNAcentral. Lineage: Eukaryota; Metazoa; Chordata; Mammalia; Primates; Hominidae.